UUUGCAUAUCAAAUAAGCGGAGGAAAAGAAACUAACAAGGAUUCCCCUAGUAGCGGCGAGCGAAGCGGGAAGAGCUCAAAUUUAUAAUCUGGCACUUUCAGUGUCCGAGUUGUAAUCUCUAGAAGUGUUUUCCGCAUUGGACCGCACACAAGUCUGUUGGAAUACAGCGGCACAGUGGUGAGACCCCCGUAUACGGUGCGGAUGCCCAAUGCUUUGUGAUACACUUUCGAAGAGUCGAGUUGUUUGGGAAUGCAGCUCAAAUUGGGUGGUAAAUUCCAUCUAAAGCUAAAUAUUGGCGAGAGACCGAUAGCGAACAAGUACCGUGAGGGAAAGAUGAAAAGCACUUUGGAAAGAGAGUUAACAGUACGUGAAAUUGUUGGAAGGGAAACGCUUGAAGUCAGACUUGCUAUUCGGGGCUUGCUCCGAGUUGCAGGCCAGCAUCAGUUUUCUGGGGUGGAAAAUCACGGUUAGAAGGUAGCAACUCCGGUUGUGUUAUAGCUUUCCGUUGGAUACAUCCUGGGGGACUGAGGAACGCAGUGUGCUUUUAGCAGGAGCUUCGGCUUCAUCACACUUAGGAUGCUGGUGGAAUGGCUUUAAACGACCCGUCUU
RNAcentral lists this ribosomal RNA (609 nucleotides) under Agaricostilbomycetes sp. TD38. Its description in RNAcentral is "eukaryotic LSU rRNA". It matches the Rfam family "Eukaryotic large subunit ribosomal RNA", at positions 35 to 655 of the family's 3401-position model. Lineage: Eukaryota; Fungi; Basidiomycota; Agaricostilbomycetes. The record is from RNAcentral.